RNAcentral lists this ribosomal RNA (253 nucleotides) under uncultured bacterium. RNAcentral's name for it is "partial 16S ribosomal RNA". It matches the Rfam family "Bacterial small subunit ribosomal RNA", at positions 524 to 776 of the family's 1533-position model. The record is from RNAcentral.
UACGUAGGGUGCAAGCGUUAAUCGGAAUUACUGGGCGUAAAGCGUGCGCAGGCGGUUGUGCAAGACCGAUGUGAAAUCCCCAGGCUUAACCUGGGAACUGCAUUUGUGACUGCAUCGCUGGAGUGCGGCAGAGGGGGAUGGAAUUCCGCGUGUAGCAGUGAAAUGCGUAGAUAUGCGGAGGAACACCGAUGGCGAAGGCAAUCCCCUGGGCCUGCACUGACGCUCAUGCACGAAAGCGUGGGGAGCAAACAGG